GCAUAUCAAUAAGCGGAGGAAAAGAAACCAACAGGGAUUGCCCUCAGUAACGGCGAGUGAAGCGGCAACAGCUCAAAUUUGAAAUCUGGCUCUCGGGCCCGAGUUGUAAUUUGUAGAGGAUGCUUUUGGUGAGGUGCCUUCCGAGUUCCCUGGAACGGGACGCCAUAGAGGGUGAGAGCCCCGUCUGGUUGGACACCGAUCCUCUGUAAAGCUCCUUCGACGAGUCGAGUAGUUUGGGAAUGCUGCUCUAAAUGGGAGGUAUAUGUCUUCUAAAGCUAAAUACCGGCCAGAGACCGAUAGCGCACAAGUAGAGUGAUCGAAAGAUGAAAAGAACUUUGAAAAGAGAGUUAAAAAGUACGUGAAAUUGUUGAAAGGGAAGCGCUUGUGACCAGACUUGGGCUUGGUUGAUCAUCCGGGGUUCUCCCCGGUGCACUCUUCCGGCUCAGGCCAGCAUCAGUUUUCCCUGGGGGAAAAAGGCUUCGGGAAUGUGGCUCUCUCCGGGGAGUGUUAUAGCCCGCUGCGUAAUACCCUGGGGCGGACUGAGGUUCGCGCAUUCGCAAGGAUGCUGGCGUAAUGGUCAUCAGCGACCCGUCUUGAAACACGGACCAAGGAGUCGUCUUCGUAUGCGAGUGUUCGGGUGUCAAACCCCUACGCGAAAUGAAAGUGAACGCAGGUGAGAGCUUCGGCGCAUCAUCGACCGAUCCUGAUGUUAUCGGAUGGAUUUGAGUAAGAGCAUACGGGGCCGGACCCGAAAGAAGGUGAACUAUGCCUGUAUAGGGUGAAGCCAGAGGAAACUCUGGUGGAGGCUCGCAGCGGUUCUGACGUGCAAAUCGAUCGUCAAACAUGGGCAUGGGGGCGAAAGACUAAUCGAACCUUCUAGUAGCUGGUUUCCGCCGAA
Molecule: ribosomal RNA, 898 nt
Filed under: Fusarium eumartii
Lineage: Eukaryota; Fungi; Ascomycota; Sordariomycetes; Hypocreales; Nectriaceae
Also listed under: 1 other name
Description: LSU rRNA
Rfam family: Eukaryotic large subunit ribosomal RNA
Source: RNAcentral